This 253-nucleotide ribosomal RNA is filed under the name uncultured bacterium. RNAcentral's name for it is "partial 16S ribosomal RNA". It matches the Rfam family "Bacterial small subunit ribosomal RNA", at positions 524 to 776 of the family's 1533-position model. The record is from RNAcentral.
UACGGAGGGUGCAAACGUUGCUCGGAAUCAUUGGGCGUAAAGCGAACGUAGGCGGCUAUGUAAGUCGGGUGUGAAAGCCCAGAGCUCAACUCUGGAAGUGCAUUCGAAACUGCAUGGCUUGAGUAGCGGAGAGGAUAGCGGAAUUCCCGGUGUAGAGGUGAAAUUCGUAGAUAUGUGGAGGAACACCUGUGGCGAAGGCGCCUUGCUGGCCGAUUUCUGACGCUGAGGCGCGAAAGCGUGGGGAGCAAACAGG